Molecule: ribosomal RNA, 382 nt
Filed under: uncultured bacterium
Lineage: Bacteria
Description: bacterial SSU rRNA
Rfam family: Bacterial small subunit ribosomal RNA
Source: RNAcentral
GAUGAACGCUGGCGGCGUGCUUAACACAUGCAAGUCGAACGGUGAAGCCUUCGGGUGGAUCAGUGGCGAACGGGUGAGUAACACGUGAGCAAUCUGCCCUUGACUCUGGGAUAACUUCGGGAAACCGGAGCUAAUACCGGAUAUGACAUCUGGCCGCAUGGUCUGGGUGUGGAAAGAUUUAUCGGUCAAGGAUGAGCUCGCGGCCUAUCAGCUUGUUGGGGGGUAAUGGCCCACCAAGGCGACGACGGGUAGCCGGCCUGAGAGGGCGACCGGCCACACUGGGACUGAGACACGGCCCAGACUCCUACGGGAGGCAGCAGUGGGGAAUAUUGCGCAAUGGGCGGAAGCCUGACGCAGCGACGCCGCGUGAGGGAUGAAGGCC